CUUACUACUUACUGUAAGUCGCUCUGGAUAAGAGCGUCUGCUAAAGGACUAAAA
Non-coding RNA from Salmo salar (Atlantic salmon), 54 nucleotides. NCBI's taxonomy places the organism in Eukaryota, Metazoa, Chordata, Actinopteri, Salmoniformes, Salmonidae. The record is from Rfam.